Molecule: non-coding RNA, 92 nt
Organism: Caenorhabditis elegans
Lineage: Eukaryota; Metazoa; Nematoda; Chromadorea; Rhabditida; Rhabditidae
Source: Ensembl
GACAAAACUGAAAGUAAUGACAAAAUUUGGUGAGCCAACUUGAAAUAACAGGAGCACAAAAAAGUUGGUAUCAGCAGGGCGGAGAAAGUUGG